This 93-nucleotide transfer RNA is filed under the name Echria macrotheca. RNAcentral describes it as "tRNA-Glu". It matches the Rfam family "tRNA". From Rfam's summary of the family: Transfer RNA (tRNA) molecules are approximately 80 nucleotides in length. Their secondary structure includes four short double-helical elements and three loops (D, anti-codon, and T loops). Lineage: Eukaryota; Fungi; Ascomycota; Sordariomycetes; Sordariales; Schizotheciaceae. The record is from RNAcentral.
UCGGGUAUGGUGUAGCGGUAACAUCGCUGACUCUCACGGUUCUUAGAACCUGAAAUGUCUCAGCAGCCCGGGGUUCGACUCCCCGUAUCCGAG